UGAAUACGAGACGCUAAGGCGUCGAAGUAGUGUAUGUCAUACUUCCAAGAAAAGCUUGCACUGUCAUAGAUAAAAAACGCCUGUACCAUAACCGACACAGGUGGGUAGGCAGAGUAUACUAAGGGGCGCGAGAUAACUCUCUCUAAGGAACUCGGCAAAAUAACUCCGUAACUUCGGGAGAAGGAGUGCCUUAUUCUUAAGGUUGCAAUAACAAGAUCCAAGCAACUGUUUAUCAAAAACACAGGUCUCCGCUAAGUCGUAAGACGAUGUAUGGGGGCUGACGCCUGCCCAGUGCCAGAAGGUUAAAGAAGCUGGUUAGCAUUUGCGAAGCUAGUAACUGAAGCCCUGGUGAACGGCGGCCGUAACUAUAACGGUCCUAAGGUAGCGAAAUUCCUUGUCGGGUAAGUUCCGACCCGCACGAAAGGCGUAAUGAUUUGGAUACUGUCUCGGAGAGGGGCUCGGUGAAAUAGACUUGUCUGUGAAGAUGCGGACUACCUGCACCAGGACAGAAAGACCCUAUGAAGCUUUACUGUAACUUGAAAUUGAAAUUGGACUUUAUUCGCGCAGUAUAGGUGGGAGGCGUUGAUUAUAAUCUUGCGGGAUUAUUGGAGCCAUUAGUGAGAUACCACUCUUGUAAUGUUAGAUUUCUAACUUUGAAUCAUUAUCUGGUCAAAGAACAGUUUCAGGCGGGCAGUUUGACUGGGGCGGUCGCCUCCUAAACGGUAACGGAGGCGUACAAAGGUUUCCUCUGAACGGUUAGAAAUCGUAUCUAGAGUGUAAAGGCAUAAGGAAGCUUGACUGUGAGACCUACAAGUCGAGCAGGGACGAAAGUCGGUCUUAGUGAUCUGACGGUACUGAGUGGAAAGGCCGUCACUCAACGGAUAAAAGUUACUCUAGGAUAACAGGCUGAUCUCCCCCAAGAUUUCACAUCGACGGGGAGGUUUGGCACCUCGAUGUCGGCUCAUCGCAUCCUGGGGCGGUAGUACGUCCCAAGGGUUGGGCUGUUCGCCCAUGAAAGCGGUACGCGAGCUGGGUUCAGAACGUCGUGAGACAGUUCGGUCCAUAUCCGGUGUAGGCGUUAGAAUAUUGAGAGGAGCCUUCUUUAGUACGAGAGGACCGAGAAGGACAUACCUCUGGUGUACCAGUUAUCGUGCCAACGGUAAACGCUGGGUAGCUAUGUAUGGAGUGGAUAACCGCUGAAAGCAUCUAAGUGGGAAGCCCACCUCAAGAUAAGUAUUCUCAC
RNAcentral lists this ribosomal RNA (1243 nucleotides) under metagenome. Its description in RNAcentral is "bacterial LSU rRNA". It matches the Rfam family "Bacterial large subunit ribosomal RNA", at positions 1564 to 2817 of the family's 2925-position model. The record is from RNAcentral.